Xenia sp. Carnegie-2017 is the source of this 379-nucleotide long non-coding RNA. RefSeq lists it as uncharacterized. NCBI's taxonomy places the organism in Eukaryota, Metazoa, Cnidaria, Anthozoa, Malacalcyonacea, Xeniidae. The transcript has 2 exons. The record is from RefSeq and is a predicted model, not a curated record.
ACAGAAUGCUUGGGACUUAUUCAAAAUGUUGGUCAACAUUGGUACGAUCAACCAUGGCCAAGACCACAACCAGAACGAUUUUAUAAGAUUGGUGAUCGCAAGGUGUAUUUUCUCGAAACAUUCCACAAUGUCCCUGUUCAAGUGCAUGCUGCUGUCAAGUCGAAUGACGAAUUGAAAAACAAACCGAACUCAAGAGCUUCUAAAAUUUCAGUGAAAGAAAACCAAAUCAAUGAACAGUUUUAAACUGCAAAAACAGUCUGUGAAAAGGCAAAAGGAUCCAAUGUUUCACUUGUCUACUCCAUUGCGAAAACACGAAAUAAACACAAAAAGCACCAAAAAUCUUGAACUUGAAGCAGCACUGCUUGUCAAAAAAUUGAGU